UGGGUCCUACGGGGCGCAGCAGUGGGGAAUAUUGCACAAUGGGGGAAACCCUGAUGCAGCGACGCCGCGUGAGUAAAGAAGUAUUUCGGUAUGUAAAGCUCUAUCAGCAGGGAAGAAAAUGACGGUACCUGACUAAGAAGCCCCGGCUAACUACGUGCCAGCAGCCGCGGUAAUACGUAGGGGGCAAGCGUUAUCCGGAUUUACUGGGUGUAAAGGGAGCGUAGACGGCAGAGCAAGUCUGAAGUGAAAGCCCGCGGCCCAACUGCGGGACUGCUUUGGAAACUGCCCGGCUGGAGUGCUGGAGG
RNAcentral lists this ribosomal RNA (305 nucleotides) under uncultured bacterium. RNAcentral's name for it is "bacterial SSU rRNA". It matches the Rfam family "Bacterial small subunit ribosomal RNA", at positions 333 to 655 of the family's 1533-position model. The record is from RNAcentral.